GUAGGUGGCAAGCGUUGUCCGGGAAUUAUUGGGCGGAAAGCGCGCGCAGGCGGUUCUUUAAGUCUGAUGUGAAAGCCCACGGGCUCAACCGUGGAGGGUCAUUGGAAACUGGAGAACUUGAGUACAGAAGAGGAAAGCGGAAUUCCACGUGUAGCGGUGAAAUGCGUAGAGAUGUGGAGGAACACCAGUGGCGAAGGCGGCUUUCUGGUCUGUAACUGACGCUGAGGCGCGAAAGCGUGGGGAGCAAACAGGAUUAGAUACCCUGGUAGUCCACGCCGUAAACGAUGAGUGCUAAGUGUUAGGGGGUUUCCGCCCCUUAGUGCUGCAGCUAACGCAUUAAGCACUCCGCCUGGGGAGUACGGCCGCAAAGGCUG
This 374-nucleotide ribosomal RNA is filed under the name uncultured organism. RNAcentral describes it as "partial 16S ribosomal RNA". It matches the Rfam family "Bacterial small subunit ribosomal RNA", at positions 527 to 896 of the family's 1533-position model. The record is from RNAcentral.